This 380-nucleotide unclassified non-coding RNA is filed under the name uncultured Sphingomonadaceae bacterium. RNAcentral describes it as "contains 16S-23S intergenic spacer region". Lineage: Bacteria; Pseudomonadati; Pseudomonadota; Alphaproteobacteria; Sphingomonadales; Sphingomonadaceae. The record is from RNAcentral.
UCCGAGUUGACCCCGGCAGUCUCCUAUGAGUCCCCACCAUCACGUGUUGGCAACAUAGAACGAGGGUUGCGCUCGUUGCGGGACUUAACCCAACAUCUCACGACACGAGCUGACGACAACCAUGCACCACCUGUGUGUAGGCCCCGUAAGGGGAGGAAUCCAUCUCUGGAAACCGUCCUACCAUGUCGAACGCUGGUAAGGUUCUGCGCGUUGCUUCGAAUUAAACCACAUGCUCCACCGCUUGUGCAGGCCCCCGUCAAUUUCUUUGAGUUUUAACCUUGCGGCCGUACUCCCCAGGCGGAUGACUUAACGCGUUAGCUGCGCCACCGAAGCUCCAAGAGCCCCGACAGCUAGUCAUCAUCGUUUACGGCGUGGACUAC